GCAGUCGAACGGCAGCACGGGAGCAAUCCUGGUGGCGAGUGGCGAACGGGUGAGUAAUAUAUCGGAACGUGCCCAGUCGUGGGGGAUAACGUAGAGAAAUUUACGCUAAUGCCGCAUACGAUCUAAGGAUGAAAGCGGGGGACCGUAAGGCCUCGCGCGAUUGGAGCGGCUGAUAUCAGAUUAGGUUGUUGGUGAGGUAAAAGCUCACCAAGCCGACGAUCUGUAGCUGGUUUGAGAGAACGACCAGCCACACUGGGACUGAGACACGGCCCAGACUCCUACGGGAGGCAGCAGUGGGGAAUUUUGGACAAUGGGCGAAAGCCUGAUCCAGCAAUGCCGCGUGCAGGAAGAAGGCCUUCGGGUUGUAAACUGCUUUUGUACGGAACGAAAAGGUCUGCCCUAAUACGGCGGGCCCAUGACGGUACCGUAAGAAUAAGCACCGGCUAACUACGUGCCAGCAGCCGCGGUAAUACGUAGGGUGCGAGCGUUAAUCGGAAUUACUGGGCGUAAAGCGUGCGCAGGCGGUGAUGUAAGACAGUUGUGAAAUCCCCGGGCUCAACCUGGGAAUUGCAUCUGUGACUGCAUCGCUAGAGUACGGUAGAGGGGGAUGGAAUUCCGCGUGUAGCAGUGAAAUGCGUAGAUAUGCGGAGGAACACCGAUGGCGAAGGCAAUCCCCUGGACCUGUACUGACGCUCAUGCACGAAAGCGU
Molecule: ribosomal RNA, 709 nt
Filed under: uncultured bacterium
Lineage: Bacteria
Description: bacterial SSU rRNA
Rfam family: Bacterial small subunit ribosomal RNA
Source: RNAcentral